GAUGAAGAACGUAGCGAAAUGCGAUAAGUAAUGUGAAUUGCAGAAUUCAGUGAAUCAUCGAAUCUUUGAACGCACAAUGCGCCCGCCAGCAUUCUGGCGGGCAUGCCUGUUCGAGCGUCAUUUCAACCCUCGACUUCCCUUUGGGGAAGUCGGCGUUGGGGACCGGCCGUAUACCGCCGGCCCCGAAAUGAAGUGGCGGCCCGUCCGCGGCGACCUCUGCGUAGUAAUCCAACUCGCACCGGAACCCCGACGUGGCCACGCCGUAAAACCCCCGACUUCUGAACGUUGACCUCGGAUCAGGUAGGAAUACCCGCUGAACUUAAGCAUAUCAAUAAGCGGAGGA
Molecule: unclassified non-coding RNA, 343 nt
Filed under: soil metagenome
Description: partial contains 5.8S ribosomal RNA, internal transcribed spacer 2, and large subunit ribosomal RNA
Rfam family: 5.8S ribosomal RNA (bases 1-120)
Source: RNAcentral